UACGUAGGGGGCAAGCGUUGUCCGGAAUCAUUGGGCGUAAAGCGCGUGUAGGCGGUCCGGUAAGUCCGCUGUGAAAGUCGGGGGCUCAACCCUCGGAUGCCGGUGGAUACUGUCGGGCUUGAGUACGGAAGAGGCGAGUGGAAUUCCUGGUGUAGCGGUGAAAUGCGCAGAUAUCAGGAGGAACACCAAUUGCGAAGGCGGGUCUCUGGGCCGAUACUGACGCUGAGGAGCGAAAGCGUGGGGAGCAAACAGG
Molecule: ribosomal RNA, 253 nt
Filed under: uncultured bacterium
Lineage: Bacteria
Description: partial 16S ribosomal RNA
Rfam family: Bacterial small subunit ribosomal RNA
Source: RNAcentral